RNAcentral lists this small nuclear RNA (69 nucleotides) under Heterocephalus glaber (naked mole-rat). RNAcentral describes it as "U4 spliceosomal RNA". It matches the Rfam family "U4 spliceosomal RNA", at positions 1 to 69 of the family's 138-position model. Rfam says of the family: U4 small nuclear RNA (U4 snRNA) is a component of the major U2-dependent spliceosome. The structure of U4 snRNA from yeast and human has been reported. U4 snRNA presents a k-turn RNA motif in the 5p-SL related to recognition of Snu13 protein. The record is from Rfam by way of RNAcentral. Lineage: Eukaryota; Metazoa; Chordata; Mammalia; Rodentia; Bathyergidae.
AGCUUUGCACAGUGGCAGUAUCAUAGCCAGUGAGGUUUAUCCAAGACGCGAUUAUUGCUAAUUAAAUAU